RNAcentral lists this ribosomal RNA (464 nucleotides) under uncultured bacterium. RNAcentral describes it as "partial 16S ribosomal RNA". It matches the Rfam family "Bacterial small subunit ribosomal RNA", at positions 339 to 795 of the family's 1533-position model. The record is from RNAcentral.
CUACGGGGUGCUGCAGUUAGGGAUAUUCGGCAAUGGGGGAAACCCUGACCGAGCAAUGCCGCGUGAAUGAAGAAGUAUUUCGAUAUGUAAAGUUCUGUUGUUAAGGAAGAAAGGUACGAAUAGGAAAUGAUUCGUAAUUGACGGUACUUAACCAGAAAGCCCCUGCUAACUACGUGCCAGCAGCAGCGGUAAUACGUAGGGGGCGAGCGUUAUCCGGAAUUAUUGGGCGUAAAGGGUGCGUAGGCGGCCUGUCAAGUCCGAGUUGAAAGCCCACGGCUUAACCGUGGAGGGUGCUCGGAAACUGAUAGGCUUGAAUCCAGAAGAGGCAAGUGGAAUUCUAUGUGGAGCGGUGGAAUGCGUAGAUAUAUGGAGGAACACCGGUGGCGAAGGCGGCUUGCUGGGCUGGUAUUGACGCUGAUGCACGAAAGCGUGGGGAGCAAACAGGAUUAGAUACCCGCGUAGUC